GACGAGUGGCGGACGGGUGAGUAAUGUCUGGGAAACUGCCUGAUGGAGGGGGAUAACUACUGGAAACGGUAGCUAAUACCGCAUAACGUCGCAAGACCAAAGAGGGGGACCUUCGGGCCUCUUGCCAUCAGAUGUGCCCAGAUGGGAUUAGCUAGUAGGUGGGGUAACGGCUCACCUAGGCGACGAUCCCUAGCUGGUCUGAGAGGAUGACCAGCCACACUGGAACUGAGACACGGUCCAGACUCAAACGGGAGGCAGCAGUGGGGAAUAUUGCACAAUGGGCGCAAGCCUGAUGCAGCCAUGCCGCGUGUAUGAAGAAGGCCUUCGGGUUGUAAAGUACUUUCAGCGGGGAGGAAGGUGUUGUGGUUAAUAACCACAGCAAUUUGACGUUACCCGCAGAAGAAGCACCGGCUAACUCCGUGCCAGCAGCCGGGGUAAUACGGAGGGUGCAAGCGUUAAUCGGGAAUUACUGGGCGUAAAGCGCACGCAGGGCGUCUGUCAAGUCGGAUGUGAAAUCCCCGGGCUCAACCUGGGAACUGCAUUCGAAACUUGGCAGGCUAGAGUCUUGUAGAGGGGGGGUAGAAUUCCAGGUGUAGCGGUGAAAUGCGUAGAGAUCUGGAGGAAUACCGG
RNAcentral lists this ribosomal RNA (630 nucleotides) under uncultured Gammaproteobacteria bacterium. RNAcentral's name for it is "bacterial SSU rRNA". It matches the Rfam family "Bacterial small subunit ribosomal RNA", at positions 90 to 712 of the family's 1533-position model. Lineage: Bacteria; Pseudomonadati; Pseudomonadota; Gammaproteobacteria. The record is from RNAcentral.